Molecule: non-coding RNA, 104 nt
Organism: Mycobacterium palustre
Lineage: Bacteria; Bacillati; Actinomycetota; Actinomycetes; Mycobacteriales; Mycobacteriaceae
Source: Rfam
GCGUGCCCGUGCAUCGUGGCCUCUGCCCGAACCGACCCUGGCGUACUUCCCCAACGCCAGGUUCGCGCCUUCGGACAGGGACCCGGGUGCAGGGGCCACGCCGU